Molecule: ribosomal RNA, 433 nt
Filed under: uncultured bacterium
Lineage: Bacteria
Description: partial 16S ribosomal RNA
Rfam family: Bacterial small subunit ribosomal RNA
Source: RNAcentral
AACGAACGCUGGCGGCAUGCCUAACACAUGCAAGUCGAACGAAGCCUUCGGGCUUAGUGGCGCACGGGUGCGUAACGCGUGGGAAUCUGCCCCUUGCUUCGGAAUAACAGUUAGAAAUGACUGCUAAUACCGGAUGAAGUCUUCGGACCAAAGAUUUAUCGGCAAGGGAUGAGCCCGCGUAGGAUUAGGUAGUUGGUGGGGUAAAGGCCUACCAAGCCGACGAUCCUUAGCUGGUCUGAGAGGAUGAUCAGCCACACUGGGACUGAGAUACGGCCCAGACUCCUACGGGAGGCAGCAGUGGGGAAUAUUGGACAAUGGACGCAAGUCUGAUCCAGCAAUGCCGCGUGAGUGAUGGAGGCCUUAGGGUUGUAAAGCUCUUUUACCAGGGAUGAUAAUGACAGUACCUGGAGAAUAAGCUCCGGCUAACUCCGUG